RNAcentral lists this transfer RNA (86 nucleotides) under Chthonomonas sp. RNAcentral describes it as "tRNA-Leu". It matches the Rfam family "tRNA". Rfam says of the family: Transfer RNA (tRNA) molecules are approximately 80 nucleotides in length. Their secondary structure includes four short double-helical elements and three loops (D, anti-codon, and T loops). Further hydrogen bonds mediate the characteristic L-shaped molecular structure. tRNAs have two regions of fundamental functional importance: the anti-codon, which is responsible for specific mRNA codon recognition, and the 3' end, to which the tRNAs corresponding amino acid is attached (by aminoacyl-tRNA synthetases). tRNAs cope with the degeneracy of the genetic code in two manners: having more than one tRNA (with a specific anti-codon) for a particular amino acid; and 'wobble' base-pairing, i.e. permitting non-standard base-pairing at the 3rd anti-codon position. The record is from RNAcentral. Lineage: Bacteria; Bacillati; Armatimonadota; Chthonomonadia; Chthonomonadales; Chthonomonadaceae.
GCCCGGGUGGCGAAAUGGUAGACGCAGGGGACUUAAAAUCCCUUGCCCGCAAGGGCGUGUGGGUUCGAGUCCCACCCUGGGCACCA